Molecule: ribosomal RNA, 492 nt
Filed under: uncultured bacterium
Lineage: Bacteria
Description: partial 16S ribosomal RNA
Rfam family: Bacterial small subunit ribosomal RNA
Source: RNAcentral
AGUGAACGCUGGCGGUAGGCCUAACACAUGCAAGUCGAACGGCAGCACAGUAAGAGCUUGCUCUUACGGGUGGCGAGUGGCGGACGGGUGAGGAAUACAUCGGAAUCUACUUUUUCGUGGGGGAUAACGUAGGGAAACUUACGCUAAUACCGCAUACGACCUACGGGUGAAAGCAGGGGAUCUUCGGACCUUGCUCGAUUGAAUGAGCCGAUGUCGGAUUAGCUAGUUGGCGGGGUAAAGGCCCACCAAGGCGACGAUCCGUAGCUGGUCUGAGAGGAUGAUCAGCCACACUGGAACUGAGACACGGUCCAGACUCCUACGGGAGGCCGCAGUGGGGAAUAUUGGACGAUGGGCGCAAGCCUGAUCCAGCCAUACCGCGUGGGUGAAGAAGGCCUUCGGGUUGUAAAGCCCUUUUGUUGGGAAAGAAAAGCAGCAGGUUAAUACCACGCUGUUCUGACGGUACCCAAAGAAUAAGCACCGGCUAACUUCGUG